Saccostrea cuccullata (small rock oyster) is the source of this 261-nucleotide long non-coding RNA. RefSeq lists it as uncharacterized. Lineage: Eukaryota; Metazoa; Mollusca; Bivalvia; Ostreida; Ostreidae. The record is from RefSeq and is a predicted model, not a curated record. The transcript is spliced from 3 exons.
CGCCAUCCUUAGCAGCACACAGAGAAGAAAUUUGGCGGUUCUUUUUGGUAACUAGGAUCCAGAAGUGAAUCUUUGAAAAGUAAAGGCGUACCUUAGACAUCCUAGUAGUCCUAGUAGUUGUAAAAGUUCGAAGGAGGGGUCCUAGUAUAUAUUCAGUCAGGAAGGACCAGACGAGGCAGUGCCGCCAUUACGGGCCACAGCGCCAUCCUACGGAAGUGCCGCCAUUACGGGCCACAGCGCCAUCCUUAGUAGCACACAGUG